This 433-nucleotide unclassified non-coding RNA is filed under the name Hevea brasiliensis (rubber tree). Lineage: Eukaryota; Viridiplantae; Streptophyta; Magnoliopsida; Malpighiales; Euphorbiaceae. The record is from RNAcentral.
GAAGAGAUUUAAUAUUUGUGGUUAUGGAAAUUCAGGGUCAAACUUUAGAUCCCCAAGAUCAUUCGUUCUACAGAAAACACUUCAAUGACUUGCGCAUAAAUGCCCAGAACUUGUGGGAUGAAUUAUCAUAGAAGAAGCCAACUGCUCUUCCAAUUCCACGAGUACACCAUCUUGUUUCACAUUAAACACCUACCACCUUUUUCACACGCUAUUCCAACCUCCCCUUCCAUGCCUAUUUAACCCAUCUGCUUCCCUAAAAGCUUUUCACAGUACAGCCAUGGCUAGGACUGAGCUCAAGCUUCUAGGAGCAUGGCUUAGCCCAUAUGUUAUGAGGGCAAGAAUUGCCCUUAACAUCAAAUCUGUUGACUAUGAGUUUCUUCAGGAAACUCUUGGAUCAAAAAGCCAGCUCCUUCUUGAAUCUAAUCCUGUCCAC